Molecule: long non-coding RNA, 425 nt
Organism: Athalia rosae (coleseed sawfly)
Lineage: Eukaryota; Metazoa; Arthropoda; Insecta; Hymenoptera; Athaliidae
Exons: 3
Source: RefSeq, a predicted model, not a curated record
CGCACGUAACAUGCAAACGAUGAUCAAAUAUGAAGUAACUACAUAUCGCUUUCUAAUCAUACAGUCUAAUAAUUAUAUUUCUACUGUUGCCUACACGGUAGACAUGGGCGCCCAUGGCAUGCAAGCAGUUAUCAGUCCAAGCUCGUUGAAAGAAGACGUUAGGAUUCGCCGACAACGUUGUAUACAAAUUUCCAGAAUCCUCCGGUCUCAGGUACAUUCCAGGCGGUAGGACGAAAGUCUCAACAUGCCCUCGCACAUCUGUAAUUGGAUUAAACGGUCAUCCAAAUCAGAAUUCUCACCCGUGCUCUGAUGGCAGGGCAUUUUGGACUCCAAGGUAUCGUUGGGUGGUUUGAAGUGAAAAAAUGAUGGAGAAUAGCCACUGGCCGGCAGCGAACUUAAUCCAUCAUCCCUGGGGUCUCUGUCUC